CAAAAGUCCGUUGAAGGAAAGUAACGGUUCAGGGUCACAACGGCUUCUCAUUGGCUGAGCUGCUGUGUUUCUCAUUGGCUGGGCUGUUGCCAAGUGGGAGGAGAAAUCUUCCUUUAGUAGUAAAGUAGUUUUACUUCCCAUCAGAAGAGGCAAGGGUAGCUCUUUUCCUCUUUCCUGUAGUUGGCAACGUAGGACAGGGAGUGAGAGCUCCCCCUACAGGCCUCCCUGACUCCAAGUUAGUUACGUUUUCUUUUAUUAAUUUCCACAAAAGUGAUGAAAUUUCUCUUCGGGCUCUUCUCAGCUGCUCUUUCUGAACACCUCUCCCCCCUACUCCCUGUCUAUACCAAUCUGGGAGCUCAGCUAUAUCUUUAGAUAAACUUAUUAUGGACCUCAUCAUAUCUAAACGUCUAGAGAAAAAGACUUGUUUACUUCCUUGCCUAACUUCCAAAUAUCUCAAGGCAAAAUCAUGUGGUUUUUACCAGUAUGAAGUUUGGAGCCAGGCAUAUUUUCCUAACUUAAAACAUUGGCCUUGUUUCUUCCUUGCUGUGUGGAUUUGAGCAAAUUACAAAUAACCUCUUUUGCCUCUGUUUCCUCAACUGUAAAAUGGGGUGGGGUUUUUUGUAAGUAUCUUAGAAGUUAACACACAUGUUCUUGGCAUUUGUGUUUUGCUAAUAUUAUUAAAGACUUGCUCACCAAUGUAGUCUCAAGUGAUCACCUACUGCUUGGUACAUAAUAGGUGCUUAAUAAGUAUAUGUUAAUCAUUGAAUACUGAAAUCAGCUUUUCCUAAUGGAUUACCGAGGUUCCUUAUGCUUUAAUGGUGAUUCUCCAUGGAAAUGUAAAAUAGUUCUGCACCACCAUGUUCUGCAUGCAGUCUACAUGUCACCUCUUUCACAGGCCCUGAGAAAGCACAUUAACUUUGGUGAGCCCCUAGGGUACCGUGCUCUGCCUUGAGAAACUUUCCUAACAGCCCCUUCCCACACCCGCCCCAAGGGUGCAGCCCCAGUGGGCACUGGUCACCAGGAGGCACAUGCAAGGUGACUGCACAGGGGCCAGAGGCCAGGGGGCGGCAGUAAGACAAGUGAAAGGGCACUCAGGAGAGACUGUCUCCUUUACACCUUGCCCGUUGUGUCUGUAUUAAUCUGGGAGUCCCCUCCCCUUAUGUCCUUUCUGCAACAAAGCAAAGUCUAAAUAAACGAAAUGUCAAACAAAGUUUUUCUUUCUUUCUAACCACUUCUCCAGCUUCCCAGGUUACUUUGAAAUCUGAUCUAAUUCUUCAGGGCCAAGACGUGCUGAUUUGGACAUUUGAUAAGCACUUCUGUUUAUUUUAUCUAAAUCCCUAGAAGUGGGUCCGGGAUACUAAUCUAUUUUUAACCUCAGGUGUGGAAAGUUGAUAUCGUGAGCUGAAGUGUGUUUCCCCCAAAAUUCAUGUGUUGAAAUCCUAACCCCCAGUACCUCGGAAUGUGAUUGUAUUUGGAGCUUGGGCCUUUAAAGAGGUGAUUAAGUCAAAGUGAGGUCAUAUAGGCAGGCCCUAAUCCUAUAGGACUGGUGUCCUUAUGGAGGAGGGAAUCUGGACAAGGACACGUAAAGAGGGAGAAGGUUAUCUGCAAGACAAGGACAGAGGCCUCAGGGGAAACCAAACCUGUGGACAUCUUGAUCUGGGACUUCCAGCCUCCAGAACUUUGCAGGUCCUUCUGGUUGUGCUAUGUGGGACACCACCUCAACAUAGCUUGAUGAGCAGUGCCAUGUCUGUGCCCAGGAUCUCAACUGGUGAAACCCCGGGCUGCUGAAGCAGAGUGCAGGAACUUAACCACUCAGCCAUGGAGCCGGCCCCUACUUGUACACUUUUAGUAUCUUACAAUUUUAUUUGUCAAGUGUACCUCAAUAAAGCUGAAAAAAAAUA
Long non-coding RNA from Equus asinus (donkey), 1901 nucleotides. The record is from Ensembl. Lineage: Eukaryota; Metazoa; Chordata; Mammalia; Perissodactyla; Equidae.